This 750-nucleotide ribosomal RNA is filed under the name uncultured Catonella sp. RNAcentral's name for it is "bacterial SSU rRNA". It matches the Rfam family "Bacterial small subunit ribosomal RNA", at positions 28 to 776 of the family's 1533-position model. Lineage: Bacteria; Bacillati; Bacillota; Clostridia; Lachnospirales; Lachnospiraceae. The record is from RNAcentral.
GAUGAACGCUGGCGGCGUGCCUAACACAUGCAAGUCGAACGGAGAUUACGGACGGAAGUUUUCGGAUGGAAGACUGUAAUUCUUAGUGGCGGACGGGUGAGUAACGCGUGGGCAACCUGCCCUAUACAGGGGGAUAGCAGCUGGAAACGGCUGGUAAGACCGCAUAAGUCGGUUAAAUCGCAUGAUUUGAUCGGGAAAUGAGCAAUCAGGUAUAGGAUGGGCCCGCGUCCGAUUAGCCAGUUGGCAGGGUAAAAGCCUACCAAAGCAACGAUCGGUAGCCGGACUGAGAGGUCGGACGGCCACAUUGGGACUGAGACACGGCCCAAACUCCUACGGGAGGCAGCAGUGGGGGAUAUUGCACAAUGGAGGAAACUCUGAUGCAGCGACGCCGCGUGAGUGAAGAAGUAUUUCGGUAUGUAAAGCUCUAUCAGCAGGGAAGAUGAUGACGGUACCUGACUAAGAAGCCCCGGCUAACUACGUGCCAGCAGCCGCGGUAAUACGUAGGGGGCAAGCGUUAUCCGGAUUUACUGGGUGUAAAGGGAGCGCAGGCGGUUUGGCAAGUUGAGAGUGGAAGCAGGGGGCUCAACCCCCUGACUGCUCCCAAAACUGUUAAACUUGAGUAUGGGAGAGGCAGGCGGAAUUCCUAGUGUAGCGGUGAAAUGCUUAGAUAUUAGGAAGAACACCGGUGGCGAAGGCGGCCUGCUGGACCAAAACUGACGCUGAGGCUCGAAAGCGUGGGUAGCAAACAGG